CUGGAAUAAAAUAGUAAGCUUUAUUAACAGAAGUUGUAGGAAUGUUGUGAUAAAUAACUAACUCCUUGACUAAAAACACUAUCCAAAUGUCUUUCAUACAUAUAAUUUAAAGAACUACAAGAAAUCCAGCUCAUGUAAAUCAAUAUACUCCCACUGGGUUCAAUAGAACUAAGUCAAUUUACAGCAACUGAGACUUUAGCUCCAGAUUUCAUGAUUCAAACUCACCAUAAAACAGUGAGGAGAAAUUUAAGAAGGGAAAAAAUCUACAAAGUUAAAUUGAUCUGCAAAUGUGAAGUAUUUCUCAACAUAAAUUAAUUUGUCGUCAGAUACUGGCUACUAUCACAUAAUGUCAAGAAUUUCAUUUAGCAGUGAAAGAACUGAAGAGUCAGUCAAUUGCAGUUUGUUCAUUUUUACCUUUCAGCAUUUCUUGUAUAAAAGACUGAAAAUAGGUUUUGUAAUGGAAAGCCUGCAAAAUCCCCAUAACAACAUCAGUAAAAACAGAUUCAGAUUCAAUAAAAUUGCAUAAAGCAAAUUUACUAGAAUAAUAUGUGGGCAGUUCAUCAUCACAACUGUAACAACAUUUUAAAUAACAGGAUGUCUGCUCCCUGGACACACUGCAAUUAAAAUGGGUUUGCAAUAAACGUGUUCAUUAGGUUGAAUCACAAGGUUGUAAAUAGAGUCAUCAGACAGAUAACUUCAAUGUAGUUAGUUUCAUUUGUUUCAUUUUUUCUCUUCUCCCCUUUAUUUUUUUGUAUUUUAAAGAAAGAGAAUUUUAAUUUAUACACACACGCUUUAUAUAAUAAAUCAUAGGCAUUUCAUUGAUUUUUCCUACAUAACUUUCACAUGGGAACCUGCAUUUCUUCUGCUAAAAUUCAUGUUGUUUAUUCCUCGGACAAGAUUAUGUAUACGGCAUAUGAGUUAACUGUUAUCUGCCUACCUGCAGUGUCUGAAAUGGAAGUCAACAUGACCAAACUUCACCUGGAACUCACUUUCCCUGAAAACUGGAGGGACAAAUGUUUUAUUAUCAAAUAUGGAAACAAACAAACAAACAAAAUCAAAAUCAAGAACUAUGACUCUAAUCAUCUUUUGACUGCAGACAGGGACAUAAAGGAAAGACUGGUCUUUCAGCCUGCUGUCAGUGCAGAGUCGCAGGGCUACAGCUGCUACCGUACUACUACAACUCCUCGAGACCCGCCUGGGUCUGGCCUACCACUGCCACUGCAUCAAGUUGUAGGUUUAAAGCCUAUCUGUCAUACCUGUCAGCUCCAAACAGUGUCUCAAAAGGUGCCAGAAACCUUUAUGUGGAUAACUGAAUCCCUGAUCACCUGCCCUUAGAGUCCCUGAGUGUAUUGAUGAAAACAGUUUUUCUAUCUAAAAAAUAUAAAAUAGUAUCUAAUGUCAUCAUGAUGCCUUAGCAUAUCUUGCUUGGCCUCCAGCUGACUCUCUACAAGAUCAAGAACCUCUUGUGGGUUCCUUUUUGCCAAGCUCAGAUAUCUGUCUUAGGUCCUUGGUAUAAGACUGUUAAUUCAAAUUGCUCUAUACACUUAGACAGAUCUGAUAAAUUGAGUCCUAGAUUUUUUUUCAUAGACUCUUCCUAGACUCAUAGUUCUUAGACUCUGAUCUAAGUAGAUGAGGACACCUAUGGUAGAGACAUUUGAUGGCAUACCCC
RNAcentral lists this long non-coding RNA (1669 nucleotides) under Anas platyrhynchos platyrhynchos (common mallard). RNAcentral's name for it is "lncRNA (ENSAPLG00000021648.1)". The record is from RNAcentral. Lineage: Eukaryota; Metazoa; Chordata; Aves; Anseriformes; Anatidae.